This is a long non-coding RNA of Xiphophorus hellerii (green swordtail), 1367 nucleotides long. RefSeq lists it as uncharacterized. Lineage: Eukaryota; Metazoa; Chordata; Actinopteri; Cyprinodontiformes; Poeciliidae. The transcript has 2 exons. The record is from RefSeq and is a predicted model, not a curated record.
AUCCACUAUAAUGUUGGCACCAAGAGAUGGAGAUCAUUUUUUCACACACUGUCCUCCUGUGUGUGAUAGCAAAAUAAACGUGGGAUUUGUCUUAUUUUUGCUCUGGUUGCAGAUAUUUUGUUUUUAACUGAUUAUGAGCUAUUUUCUUAACCUCAUUUUGUGAAUUAUGCAUUUAUUCUUCUGAGGUUAGUAUGACAUGUUUUUAUAAUUUUUGUAUUAAUCUGUGUUCUUCUCAAUCAAUGUAUCUUUCUACUCUUUGCCUUUUCUGUUCACAUUAUGCCCUUUUAAAAGAUGCAUUUUAUAAAGACUAAACCGAAAUAAAGAUGGUUACUGUUUUGCAUUUCGGAACCAGUGCAAAUCAAUCUAGCCUUGAUAAUGUAUUUUUGUAAAUAGUUUACAAUGAAAACACACAUACCUACUUCAGAUAUGAAGUUAAUAUUAUGCUGCUUAAAUGUUUUAUUUCAGGCUUAAAAAUCGUAAUACACCCGCGCCUCCUGGUGGAAACAGAGGCUAAAACACUCCGGGAAACAGCGGACACAGAGAUCGUUGCUGUUUGUUUUGCCAUAAAGAACCAUCCGGACCAGGCCGACAGGCAAACGAAGACAGCCACCGCAGAAAUGUCCGGGCUGUUCUGGGUUCCAGACAAAUCUUCCUCCUCAUAAUGUAAAAUCGCCGAACAGGAAGCACUGUUGAAUUCUCGAAAUGCCAUGAAUUUACUAAAUGAUCGCUUUCAUUUAAAUUUUUUGGGGGAAAAAAUAGGUGAUCCCUGAUGGGUACGUUCAUUAAAUUCGUCCCCCAUAGCUUUACAAAAUACAGUUCCAUUUCGAAUUACAAAAAUAAUCGGACAUAAGUUAUCCAGUAUUUUAUAUGAGCUCUCGUGUACGUUGUAAAAUAAUUUCUUGAAUUAAUUCAGAAUGUUUUAUCAUGGAUGUUCAUGUUGUGCUUUUGUGAAAUUCUGUUGCUAAAAAUCAAGAAAAAUGGAGCGGAUCUGAAAACUGGAUCUGCAUGAACCAGCAUUUCGUUGAAAAUCUAUGCGCAGCAUUCAGUAGUCUUGUGUCUAAACACUAUUAAGUAGUUUACUUUCAGCACAAGACGAAAAGGCAAUUUUCUUUGAGAUUUUUUUCUUAAGGUUAAAUCUUUAAAACAAAGGCAAAUAAAUGCCAUGGGUUUUUUUUCCCGCUGACAUUUUCAUGGCUGCCUGUUGAAACCCCACUCAAUAUAGCUGAAGCCCUGUCACUAGUGACCACUAUGGAAGGCACAUUAGUAUAUUUUUCUGCCUUUAACUUUGUAUUUUUAUGUCGUAAAGAAGGCACUUUGAACAGCCUUGUUGCUGAAAUGUGCUAUACAAAUAAACUUGAUUGAUUUAA